Molecule: long non-coding RNA, 4580 nt
Filed under: Selaginella moellendorffii
Lineage: Eukaryota; Viridiplantae; Streptophyta; Lycopodiopsida; Selaginellales; Selaginellaceae
Description: long non-coding RNA (SMOE_LNC000735)
Source: RNAcentral
GCGGCCGACUUGGUCUUGUCACCCGCCUGGUUCGCGGUGGCCGCGGUCUGGUCCUUGGCGGCAUAGGCCUUGUCCGCCACCGUGUCCUUGGCGGCAUAUGCCUUGUCCGCCACCGUGUCCUUGGUGGCAUAUGCCUUGUCCGCGGCGGUAUCCUUGGUGGCACGAGCCUUGUCCGCUGCCGUCUGGCCGGUUCCCUUGGAUUGAUCCAUGGCGGCGUGAGUUUUCUCGCUGGCGGCCUGCCCCAAGCCGUGAGUGGUAUCGCUUGCCUUCUGGCCAGCGCCCUGGGAGAGAUUCCAAAAGAAGAAAUGAUAAGAUCAAUCGAGAGAACUGUAGAAUUUUUCAAAGCACACACAAGACCAAGGUGGCAAAGUGCUGGAGAUGGAAAACAUGGAUCAAACAGGAGUAGAGUAGAACCGAAAGAAAGAAGUAAAAACGAAAUCCCAAGAAAGAUCAGGGACGGACAAGAAACAUCGCGAAGAACAUGAUCUACAAGCUAGAGAUCUUGCAAAGAUGGCAGAUUUCUGGGAUCCAGGAAAGAAAUCCACACAAACCUUGGUGUGCUGAGCGGCCUUAUCGGCGCUCUCGUGGCCGGCCUCCUUCACCUUGUUUGCCUGAUCCGCCAUAGCUAUAGCUUUGCUUGCGUGAGCGAGGGCGAAGAUUAAACUCCUUUUUCCUUUCCUAGAGAGAGAACGAUAGAACUUUUGGGCAAACGAUGUGCUUGCGAAACGUUCGUCGGCCUCUUUUCAAGAACUGCCGCGAGGUGUCACGUGUUGGCAAGGCAGCGACUAGCGCCAUGCACGGCUACACGUGUCCACGUAGCCGGACGCGUGGAGGCUUGUGGCAGCUGCUACGUGUCGGGAUUGCGAGGUUGACACGUGGAUUGAACUGUUGGCGCUUUGAUUGAAAUUGACUUUUGCUGACCAAUGGAAAGCAAGAGGAAAUUUCUUUUUAUAUUAUUGCUCUUGUUUUAUACAGUGGAAAUGUUUUCAUCAUCGAAAGGAAGCUUACAAAGAAAUUUUUCUAGCGAAAGAAGUUCGAUAGAAGGAAAGAAUUUAGAAUGCGAUGAUGAGAAGAAACGACCAAGUAAAAGAAGUACUGUAGAUCGAUCCAGGCUUGACAAAGAAAGAACGAAGAAGAUCAUCUCGAACUUUGUAUAGCGAUCGAUCAGCGAUAAGGAAAUUCGCGGAGCAAAAGGAUUGCUAGCAAAAACCAAAGAAACGAAGAACAGGGAAGAGAAGCAAAAGAAUGCGAUGAUCGAUAAACAACGAAGAACAGUAGGACAAAGAGAAGAAUGCGAUGAUCGAUAGGCAACGAAGAACAGUAGGACAAAGAAAAGAAUACAAUGAUCGAUAGGAAGGAAGAAGAAUGAAGAGAUUUUAGUGAGUGGAGCGAUCUAGAGUCGUGGAGGAGGAGGAUGCUUUACUGCCACAGUCGGGGCUCUCAUCAAAAUUGGAAGCCGGGUAAGAGGCCGAGAGAAUUCCCACCUGGAACACAACCUUCUCGUUCUCCAUGUAGAUCCCAGUCAGCUCCCACCACACCAAUAACACCUUGACAUAAACUCCCGAGAGAUCUUUAAUCGAUCCAUAGGACAGCAAUCCCUCGAUCUUGGCCCUGUACUCCACCGGAUACGCGCCCGGGAUGGUCACGUCGCAUUUGGCGUCGAGCUUGAGCACGAAUCGGCCGCUGUUGUCGAGCGUGUAGCCCUCGACGUUGCUGGGCAGCAAGCCCCCUGGAAAUCCAUUGCGCUCCAGCAGAUCCUGCGCAGUCAUCGUGUCAUUGCCGCCAGUGCCGAUCGAGAGAUCCAUGGCUUGGCCGUGGAUUAGGGCGAGCAGCACCAGCGCCAGCGAGAAGAAAUCGAUCGCCAUCGUCGUCUUCUUCCUCUUUAACGAAGAACCCUAAAAUUACUUUUACCCCUAAGCUGGAAUUCGAACCUGUGACCUGUCCUCGUUGGGAUGAAUGGAUAAAUGGCGGGCAUUCUCUUGCCUCACUGUGGAGCGCUUCUAGGGCGAAAUAUUUCGUGGCGAUUGGAGGAAGCGCGACGGCGCCAGAGAGGAGAUGGAAGCCGCUGUUGGCGCCGUCGGCGAUUUGGAUGCUGUUGCGUGUUCCAUGUGAGUUUGCUUUGAUGGAUUGCUGGAUCCAAUGCGCUCUCCUUUCGUGUCUGAUUCCUCUUUCGUUGCUACCGUGUGUCGAUUCCUGUCUUGAAUGCCAGAUCNNNNNNNNNNNNNNNNNNNNNNNNNNNNNNNNNNNNNNNNNNNNNNNNNNNNNNNNNNNNNNNNNNNNNNNNNNNNNNNNNNNNNNNNNNNNNNNNNNNNUGGCUGUUGAGCACAGCCAAAACAAUUGCCUGCUCUCGUCCAACAUUCACCACGUAGUGAAGCACGCCUCGCGGGAUCACGAACAGAUCACUGGCACGCAUCUUGUGGGCAAAAAGCUUGUUGUUCGUGUCCACGAAGCCAGCCUCCACAACACCCUUCUCGACGUAAACAAGCUCGCUCGCCCGGGGAUGAGUAUGAGUCCUGGCAACACCCUUGGGCCCGAGAUAGAUCCGCGCCAUGGACAGUCCCAUGGUGUUGAGAGCCGGGAAAGUGGUGACGAUGGCUUGCGAGAAGUUGAAGAGAGGGUUGAGGGUGUUUGUAGUAUCGGUGUUGGUGCGGAGGAGGCUCGAGUAGAAGUCUUUGGAGGUGACUUGGGAGUAUGGCUUGCAGGGAGAGCCUUCGAUCAAGGUGUUGCUGGGGAUGCAAAAGUCCUGGAGUGGAUCGGGGUCGGCAGCUUCCACAAGAGAGAAGAUGCGAGCUGAGGAGAGAAAUGUGAGAGCUACAAGGAAUGUAUUCAAAGCCAUUGGAGAUCUGAAACUCUCGAUCACUCUCUUGUGUUAUAAGUUAUCUGAAAGGUUUGGGUUUUUAUGCUUUGCCGUGAGGAGAAAUUUCUUCAGUCUCCUGGUUUCUGAAAAAGCGGGACACGUUCUCAGGUGCACAUGGAUGACUUUGAAUGUUUGCUCUAGGGAAUUAAAAUUAUUUAUAUCACGAUGAAUGCGUAUAAUGCAUAGAUAACCAUUGGAAAUAACCGCAAGGCGAGCAUCCGGCAAUCUUUCCAAACCUAAAAACUGGAAGAUUCAUGGCACGUUCGAUAAUGGUUAAACAACCCUAAACGCAGCUGGAAUAAACCUCAUGCCGGAAUCUUUUCGAAUCUGUUGAUUCCAGAGAGGCGAUCUUUUUUUUCGCCAAGAAUCUCUUCAAUCGCGGACUUACUGUGAGGUCUUCGAUCGAAUGCCGCAGCGCGACGCCUCUCUUCUCUAACUGAGAAUCUAAGAACUUCUGUAGCAGUAUUUUUCGAAAAUCGAAAAUUCGACCUGUUUGGACUGUAGAUCAUUCUAUCGCGUCAAUGGCGAAGACCGAUGUGGCAAUCUCGUUCCAAAGAAACUCGCCACGAACAAUGAAUGAAACGACAAGAUUCCUUGGAUUCCAAUUUUUUCAAAACAGUGACUGGAAGAUCCCCAGCUCACUGGCACUAAAAAGGGAACAAAAAAAUAAAAAUAAAAAAACGCGACGACGACGAUUGUCCAAAUAUCCCGUUUUUCCUUCUCUUUUUUCUUUUUUUCCCGUGUGCUGCUGCUGAAUGAGAGACUACUGAGUGGUGUUGUUACCGCUACCGCUCAGAGGAGCGUUGGUGUUGUUCCCGGGACCGCCCAGACCGAUAGUCUCCUUGGUCUUCUCGUAAGCUUGCUUCGCAGUAUCGGUAGCCUGCCAAACAAUCCACCAACUUUAGAGAUCGAAAAUGAAAGACUAGAGCGAGAAUUGAGAAACCAAACGAGCGAACCUAACAACUCUAGCAAAUAUCUAUUCAAACCAAGCGAACACGACCAAAGAAACGCAACAUCUUGGAAGAGAAUCUUUUUGCUUACCUUCUGGACGAGUCCGGCAGCUUGAUCCUUGGCAGCGUAUGCCGCAUCCGUAGCCGACUGCAUGUAUCCCGACGCCGUAUCCUGCGUCGUAUCCUUGGCCGCGUACGCCUUCUCCGUCACCACGUCCGCGGCCGACUUGGUCUUGUCACCCGCCUGGUUCGCGGUGGCCGCGGUCUGGUCCUUGGCGGCAUAGGCCUUGUCCGCCACCGUGUCCUUGGCGGCAUAUGCCUUGUCCGCCACCGUGUCCUUGGUGGCAUAUGCCUUGUCCGCGGCGGUAUCCUUGGUGGCACGAGCCUUGUCCGCUGCCGUCUGGCCGGUUCCCUUGGAUUGAUCCAUGGCGGCGUGAGUUUUCUCGCUGGCGGCCUGCCCCAAGCCGUGAGUGGUAUCGCUUGCCUUCUGGCCAGCGCCCUGGGAGAGAUUCCAAAAGAAGAAAUGAUAAGAUCAAUCGAGAGAACUGUAGAAUUUUUCAAAGCACACACAAGACCAAGGUGGCAAAGUGCUGGAGAUGGAAAACAUGGAUCAAACAGGAGUAGAGUAGAACCGAAAGAAAGAAGUAAAAACGAAAUCCCAAGAAAGAUCAGGGACGGACAAGAAACAUCGCGAAGAACAUGAUCUACAAGCUAGAGAUCUUGCAAAGAUGGCAGAUUUCUGGGAUCCAGGAAAGAAAUCCACACAAACCUUG